UGCUGGUGUCUACUGUGUCUCUCUCCUUCUCUAGCUAUCUUAACGUUAGCUGUUUAUUCUUUGAUUUCUCAGUCUUUCAUAGUCCCACUGAUUUUGUACCAUAACUAACGUUAGGCUUAUUCACCAGGGUUAAGAAGAAGUCAGCUGGCUGCAGGGCUUUUCACGCUCCCUUCCUCUGGAAUAACCUCCCAGGUCACGACAGUGGAGAGAAGGUUAUGUGGCUCGGGCACCACUUGGCGAUGCCUCGGCCUGCUCAGUCAUCCUCCUGGAUCCACACACCGCUCUGUCAACGCAACUUGGAAACUGUGAUUUUGUUCUUUCUGUACAAGCAACAUCUAUUGCAUGUCUGUCUGUCCUGGGAGGGGGAUCCCUCCUCUGUGGCUCUUCUUGAGGUUUCUACCAUCUUUUUUACCCUGUUUUUCCAUAAAGUUUGUCCUCACUCGAAUUUAGGGUCCAAAACCAGAAUGCUCCAGCAUAGUUCAGUGGAUUUCUUGGAGGAAAAGCAAUCCCCAUAAUUUGAUUCAAAUGUGAGAGUCCUUUUUUACGCUUCACAGCAUGACUGAGGGAUUUAACAUUCCAACUCACAAAAGUGACCUAGCAACCACCCAACCUAUUCAAGCUGUAUUCAGAUUUGGUUAAGCCAUAUUGAGUAAAGGUGGGCAUAUAGUCAGAGAUAUAGUCAUGUAUGAUGGACUGAAUCAGUUGUGCAUGUACAAAGAAGAACCCAUCCACUGAUACAUUAGUAUCACUGACAAGACUAUUAAACCCCUUGCAAAGGA
Molecule: long non-coding RNA, 779 nt
Organism: Acanthopagrus latus (yellowfin seabream)
Lineage: Eukaryota; Metazoa; Chordata; Actinopteri; Spariformes; Sparidae
Exons: 3
Source: RefSeq, a predicted model, not a curated record